CAAGUCGUACGCUUCUUUUUCACCGGAGCUUGCUCCACCGGAAAAAGAAGAGUGGCGAACGGGUGAGUAACACGUGGGUAACCUGCCCAUCAGAAGGGGAUAACACUUGGAAACAGGUGCUAAUACCGUAUAACAAUCGAAACCGCAUGGUUUUGAUUUGAAAGGCGCUUUCGGGUGUCGCUGAUGGAUGGACCCGCGGUGCAUUAGCUAGUUGGUGAGGUAACGGCUCACCAAGGCCACGAUGCAUAGCCGACCUGAGAGGGUGAUCGGCCACAUUGGGACUGAGACACGGCCCAAACUCCUACGGGAGGCAGCAGUAGGGAAUCUUCGGCAAUGGACGAAAGUCUGACCGAGCAACGCCGCGUGAGUGAAGAAGGUUUUCGGAUCGUAAAACUCUGUUGUUAGAGAAGAACAAGGAUGAGAGUAACUGUUCAUCCCUUGACGGUAUCUAACCAGAAAGCCACGGCUAACUACGUGCCAGCAGCCGCGGUAAUACGUAGGUGGCAAGCGUUGUCCGGAUUUAUUGGGCGUAAAGCGAGCGCAGGCGGUUUCUUAAGUCUGAUGUGAAAGCCCCCGGCUCAACCGGGGAGGGUCAUUGGAAACUGGGAGACUUGAGUGCAGAAGAGGAGAGUGGAAUUCCAUGUGUAGCGGUGAAAUGCGUAGAUAUAUGGAGGAACACCAGUGGCGAAGGCGGCUCUCUGGUCUGUAACUGACGCUGAGGCUCGAAAGCGUGGGGAGCAAACAGGAUUAGAUACCCUGGUAGUCCACGCCGUAAACGAUGAGUGCUAAGUGUUGGAGGGUUUCCGCCCUUCAGUGCUGCAGCUAACGCAUUAAGCACUCCGCCUGGGGAGUACGACCGCAAGGUUGAAACUCAAAGGAAUUGACGGGGGCCCGCACAAGCGGUGGAGCAUGUGGUUUAAUUCGAAGCAACGCGAAGAACCUUACCAGGUCUUGACAUCCUUUGACCACUCUAGAGAUAGAGCUUCCCCUUCGGGGGCAAAGUGACAGGUGGUGCAUGGUUGUCGUCAGCUCGUGUCGUGAGAUGUUGGGUUAAGUCCCGCAACGAGCGCAACCCUUAUUGUUAGUUGCCAUCAUUUAGUUGGGCACUCUAGCAAGACUGCCGGUGACAAACCGGAGGAAGGUGGGGAUGACGUCAAAUCAUCAUGCCCCUUAUGACCUGGGCUACACACGUGCUACAAUGGGAAGUACAACGAGUCGCGAAGUCGCGAGGCUAAGCUAAUCUCUUAAAGCUUCUCUCAGUUCGGAUUGUAGGCUGCAACUCGCCUACAUGAAGCCGGAAUCGCUAGUAAUCGCGGAUCAGCACGCCGCGGUGAAUACGUUCCCGGGCCUUGUACACACCGCCCGUCACACCACGAGAGUUUGUAACACCCGAAGUCGGUGAGGUAACCUUUUGGAGCCAGCCGCC
This 1426-nucleotide ribosomal RNA is filed under the name Enterococcus durans. RNAcentral's name for it is "bacterial SSU rRNA". It matches the Rfam family "Bacterial small subunit ribosomal RNA". The record is from RNAcentral. Lineage: Bacteria; Bacillati; Bacillota; Bacilli; Lactobacillales; Enterococcaceae.